Long non-coding RNA from Podarcis raffonei (Aeolian wall lizard), 533 nucleotides. RefSeq lists it as uncharacterized. Lineage: Eukaryota; Metazoa; Chordata; Lepidosauria; Squamata; Lacertidae. The transcript has 2 exons. The record is from RefSeq and is a predicted model, not a curated record.
CGAUUGCCUUUCCCUGUUUCCUGAAGGACCCUUUGCAGUACGGAGACGACGCAAACAGCAUUGAUCCCAUUCAGCAGCAUUUAACAGUUGAAACGAAUAGCUUAAUUAUGCAGCCGUUUUCGGUGCGCGUUGCAUGGCUGGGAUCAUUGGCAGAACUAUUACAUUUUUAUGAACUCGUAAACUCUGGGAGUCCAGACUGCAGCAUAUGCUUCCAUUUCCAGUACAGGUUAAUAAGGAACUCACACUCUUUUGUCGUCCGUCAUUUCGCCCGCAAAGGUUAAAUUGUAACGCAUUUAAAUGAACAGCUUAGUGCAGGUCUGAAGGAUUACAUCCAUGUAGACCAAUGGUUAAUAGUGAAAAAGAAAUCAAACUAAGGUAGAUGAUCUUAUCAUUGAAGGCUUGGGGGCAGCAGCAAGGCCAGAUUAAGGUGGCUGGGGGGCCUGAUUCAGUACUCCAGAAAGAGUUCCCCCUUCCAGCUUAAUCACGAAUUUGUGACAUUUUGGUUGAUCCUAAUAAAGGUAUCUAUAAACUUA